CGGGGGGGCAAGCGUUGUUCGGAAUUACUGGGCGUAAAGGGUGCGUAGGCGGCUCUCUAAGUCGGAUGUGAAAACUCUGGGCUCAACCCAGAGCCUGCAUCUGAAACUGGAGGGCUAGGGUUUUGGAGGGGAAAGCGGAAUUCCAGGUGUAGCGGUGAAAUGCGUAGAUAUCUGGAGGAACACCGGUGGCGAAGGCGGCUUUCUGGACAAAUACCGACGCUGAGGCACGAAAGCUAGGGGAGCAAACAGGAUUAGAUACCCUGGUAGUCCUAGCCCUAAACUAUGGAUACUUGCUGUGGGGGGAUUGAAGCCCCUUGUGGCGAAGCUAACGCAUUAAGUAUCCCGCCUGGGGAGUACGGUCGCAAGGCUG
Molecule: ribosomal RNA, 370 nt
Filed under: uncultured organism
Description: bacterial SSU rRNA
Rfam family: Bacterial small subunit ribosomal RNA
Source: RNAcentral